RNAcentral lists this ribosomal RNA (429 nucleotides) under Pseudomonadota bacterium. Its description in RNAcentral is "Proteobacteria bacterium partial 16S ribosomal RNA". It matches the Rfam family "Bacterial small subunit ribosomal RNA", at positions 355 to 776 of the family's 1533-position model. The record is from RNAcentral. Lineage: Bacteria; Pseudomonadati; Pseudomonadota.
UGGGGAAUAUUGGACAAUGGGCGAAAGCCUGAUCCAGCCAUGCCGCGUGUGUGAAGAAGGUCUUCGGAUUGUAAAGCACUUUAAGUUGGGAGGAAGGGCAGUAAGCGAAUACCUUGCUGUUCUGACGUUACCGACAGAAUAAGCACCGGCUAACUCUGUGACAGCAGCCGCGGUAAUACAGAGGGUGCAAGCGUUAAUCGGAAUUACUGGGCGUAAAGCGCGCGUAGGCGGUUCGUUAAGUUGAAUGUGAAAGCCCCGGGAUCAACCUGGGAACUGCAUCUAAAACUGUCGAUCUAGAGUAUGGCAGACGGUCGUGGAAUUUCCUGUGUAGCGGUGAAAUGCGUAGAUAUAGGAAGGAACACCAGUGGCGAAGGCGACCACCUGGGCUCAUACUGACACUGAGGUGCGAAAGCGUGGGGAGCAAACAGG